UAGGGAAUCUUCCACAAUGGACGCAAGUCUGAUGGAGCAACGCCGCGUGAGUGAAGAAGGUUUUCGGACCGUAAAGCUCUGUUGUUGGUGAAGAAGGAUAGAGGUAGUAACUGGCCUUUAUUUGACGGUAAUCAACCAGAAAGUCACGGCUAACUACGUGCCGAGCAGCCGCGGUAAUACGUAGGUGGCAAGCGUUGUCCGGAUUUAUUGGGCGUAAAGCGAGCGCAGGCGGAAGAAUAAGUCUGAUGUGAAAGCCCUCGGCUUAACCGAGGAAUUGCAUCGGAAACUGUUUUCUUGAGUGCAGAAGAGGAGAGUAGAACUCCAUGUGUAGCGGUGGAAUGCGUAGAUAUAUGGAAGAAUACCAGUGGCGAAGGCGGCUCUCUGGUCUGCAAACUGGACGCUGAGGCUCGAAAGCAUGGGUAGCGAACAGGAUUAGAUACCCUGGUAGUCCAUGCCGUAAACGAUGAGUGCUAAGUGUUGGGAGGCUUCCGCCUCUCAGUGCUGCAGCUAACGCAUUAAGCACUCCGCCUGGGGGAGUACGACCGCAAGGUUGAAAC
This 557-nucleotide ribosomal RNA is filed under the name uncultured bacterium. Its description in RNAcentral is "partial 16S ribosomal RNA". It matches the Rfam family "Bacterial small subunit ribosomal RNA", at positions 355 to 900 of the family's 1533-position model. The record is from RNAcentral.